AUAAUGGGUCAGCGACUUAUAUUCUGUAGCAAGGUUAACCGAAUAGGGGAGCCGAAGGGAAACCGAGUCUUAACUGGGCGUUAAGUUGCAGGGUAUAGACCCGAAACCCGGUGAUCUAGCCAUGGGCAGGUUGAAGGUUGGGUAACACUAACUGGAGGACCGAACCGACUAAUGUUGAAAAAUUAGCGGAUGACUUGUGGCUGGGGGUGAAAGGCCAAUCAAACCGGGAGAUAGCUGGUUCUCCCCGAAAGCUAUUUAGGUAGCGCCUCGUGAAUUCAUCUCCGGGGGUAGAGCACUGUUUCGGCAAGGGGGUCAUCCCGACUUACCAACCCGAUGCAAACUGCGAAUACCGGAGAAUGUUAUCACGGGAGACACACGGCGGGUGCUAACGUCCGUCGUGAAGAGGGAAACAACCCAGACCGCCAGCUAAGGUCCCAAAGUCAUGGUUAAGUGGGAAACGAUGUGGGAAGGCCCAGACAGCCAGGAUGUUGGCUUAGAAGCAGCCAUCAUUUAAAGAAAGCGUAAUAGCUCACUGGUCGAGUCGGCCUGCGCGGAAGAUGUAACGGGGCUAAACCAUGCACCGAAGCUGCGGCAGCGACGCUGAUGCGUUGUUGGGUAGGGGAGCGUUCUGUAAGCCUGUGAAGGUGUACUGUGAGGUAUGCUGGAGGUAUCAGAAGUGCGAAUGCUGACAUAAGUAACGAUAAAGCGGGUGAAAAGCCCGCUCGCCGGAAGACCAAGGGUUCCUGUCCAACGUUAAUCGGGGCAGGGUGAGUCGACCCCUAAGGCGAGGCCGAAAGGCGUAGUCGAUGGGAAACAGGUUAAUAUUCCUGUACUUGGUGUUACUGCGAAGGGGGGACGGAGAAGGCUAUGUUGGCCGGGCGACGGUUGUCCCGGUUUAAGCGUGUAGGCUGGUUUUCCAGGCAAAUCCGGAAAAUCAAGGCUGAGGCGUGAUGACGAGGCACUACGGUGCUGAAGCAACAAAUGCCCUGCUUCCAGGAAAAGCCUCUAAGCAUCAGGUAACAUCAAAUCGUACCCCAAACCGACACAGGUGGUCAGGUAGAGAAUACCAAGGCGCUUGAGAGAACUCGGGUGAAGGAACUAGGCAAAAUGGUGCCGUAACUUCGGGAGAAGGCACGCUGAUAUGUAGGUGAAG
RNAcentral lists this ribosomal RNA (1153 nucleotides) under Escherichia coli. RNAcentral describes it as "partial 23S ribosomal RNA". It matches the Rfam family "Bacterial large subunit ribosomal RNA", at positions 612 to 1767 of the family's 2925-position model. Lineage: Bacteria; Pseudomonadati; Pseudomonadota; Gammaproteobacteria; Enterobacterales; Enterobacteriaceae. The record is from RNAcentral.